This 549-nucleotide ribosomal RNA is filed under the name Entoloma sp. RNAcentral describes it as "eukaryotic LSU rRNA". RNAcentral also lists the same sequence under 1 other name. Lineage: Eukaryota; Fungi; Basidiomycota; Agaricomycetes; Agaricales; Entolomataceae. The record is from RNAcentral.
CUGAGGAACUCGAGGAAACUCGGUUUGAGAAUUGCGACGCGAAAGCAAGCUUUUCUUUAUCCUCGGAUCUAUGAUUUUCAAUAUACCCCAUAAAAAGUAUCUGAAUGUUGUAACGGGCCUCCGUGCCUUUAAAAUCUAAUACAACUUUCAACAACGGAUCUCUUGGCUCUCGCAUCGAUGAAGAACGCAGCGAAAUGCGAUAAGUAAUGUGAAUUGCAGAAUUCAGUGAAUCAUCGAAUUUUUGAACGCACCUUGCGCUCUUUGGUAUUCCGAGGAGCAUGCCUGUUUGAGUGUCAUGAAAUUCUCAAUCUUUCUCCCUUUUGAAGUGAGUGAGACUUGGAUUUUGGAAGUUGCUGGUUCUCACGAGUCAGCUCUUCUUAAAUGUAUUAGCAGUCCUUUGCUGAUCGUCAUUGGUAUGAUAAUUAUCUAUACCAUUGAUAAACAGUUWCCMUCGCGGAAUGGAUCUGCUUCUAAUCGUCUUUCAUAGACAAUUUUGACAACUUUGACCUCAAAUCAGGUAGGACUACCCGCUGAACUUAAGCAUAUCAA